CAAGUCGAACGAGAAAAUUCGGGUGUAGCAAUACAUCCGGGUGAGUAAAGUGGCGCACGGGUGAGUAACACGUAGCUAACCUGCCCUGGAGUGGGGAAUAACCCGGGGAAACCUGGGCUAAUACCGCAUAACACUGCUGGGACGUAAGUCUCGGUAGCCAAAGGCCCGCAAGGGUCACUCUAGGAGGGGGCUGCGGCCGAUUAGCUGGUUGGUGAGGUAACGGCCCACCAAGGCAUUGAUCGGUAGCCGGCCUGAGAGGGCGCACGGCCACACUGGCACUGAAAUACGGGCCAGACUCCUACGGGAGGCAGCAGUGGGGAAUUUUGCACAAUGCCCGCAAGGGUGAUGCAGCAACGCCGCGUGAGGGAUGAAGGCCUUCGGGUCGUAAACAUCUUUCGACCGGGAAAAACGGCUAGGCGAAGAGCCUAGCUUGAUGGUACCGGAUGAAGAAGCCCCGGCUAACCUACGUGCCAGCAGCCGCGGU
This 484-nucleotide ribosomal RNA is filed under the name uncultured bacterium. RNAcentral's name for it is "bacterial SSU rRNA". It matches the Rfam family "Bacterial small subunit ribosomal RNA", at positions 58 to 521 of the family's 1533-position model. The record is from RNAcentral.